RNAcentral lists this transfer RNA (81 nucleotides) under Sphagnurus paluster. RNAcentral's name for it is "Tephrocybe palustris tRNA". It matches the Rfam family "tRNA". Rfam says of the family: Transfer RNA (tRNA) molecules are approximately 80 nucleotides in length. Their secondary structure includes four short double-helical elements and three loops (D, anti-codon, and T loops). Lineage: Eukaryota; Fungi; Basidiomycota; Agaricomycetes; Agaricales; Lyophyllaceae. The record is from Rfam by way of RNAcentral.
GGCCGCCUGGCGAAAUGGCAUCGCGUCUGACUACGACCCGGUGUAAUCAGGAGAUUGCAGUUUCGACCCCUGAGGUGGUCA